Durio zibethinus is the source of this 3629-nucleotide non-coding RNA. NCBI's taxonomy places the organism in Eukaryota, Viridiplantae, Streptophyta, Magnoliopsida, Malvales, Malvaceae. The record is from RefSeq and is a predicted model, not a curated record.
UUCUCCACCAAAUUUGUUCUUCUUGGGAAGAUUUUAGCAAGCAAACAGUUACUUUCUCUUUCUCUCAACGGAUUUUCCGAAGCUUUCUAUCAAAAUUACACUACAAAAUAAAAUCUCAUAUCCAAACAGAAUCCAGAAACUGGAUUGUCCUUUCUCUCUCUCCACUCCGCCUUUGAAUUCAAAAUCUCACUCUCACUUCUCAGUCAUUCUGUUUCUUGAAUACGUUUCUGUUUUGAUCUUUAUUUCUAGAUUUAAUAUUCUUCUUUUUUUUUUUUACUAUUUUGAUUUGUGGGUUAAAUAUGCUUUUUUUUGGUGAGUCAGAUAAUUCAAAAUGCAGGCCUCAACACAUUUAAUCAAAGGAAAUUUAGGCUUUGAGUUUUCAAAACGAAGAGUUUUACCUUGUUUUGGUAAAGUUACGGAACUGAAUUUAACUUUGGAUUGUAAUAUUUGCUUCCGAAGUGGUUCCAUUUGCAGCGGUUUAAACUCCGGUGCCGUUUCAAUGGGAGCUGAGCCCGCACGAGCCAGAAAUGGCAUCGAAACUGUCGUUCGCUCUUCGGUCAAAUCUCGAUCGAUCAAAGCCCAGGCUUCUGGUGUAGACAUUGAGGAUUUGAAACUGAUCAACCCUCAGGGAAAAUCAUCUGGGACAGUUCUGCCAUUUGUCGGUGUUGCUUGCUUGGGAGCUAUAUUAUUUGGUUACUCAUCUAGGGAUGGGUUGCAGCACACUUCUUGCUGGUGCCACUGCUGGUUCAUUUACUGGGGGAGAACUGGCAGACAAGUUUGGCAGGACAAGGACUUUUCAAUUAGAUGCUAUCCCUCUUAUUAUUGGAGUGUGCUACGGCCCAGACUGUCCAGACUAUGAUGAUUGGCUGUUUACUGGCCAGUGUUGGUAUUGGUAAUCAUCUUCUAUUGUUCUGCUUUACAUAUCUGAGAUCUCACCAACUGAAAUCCGUGGUGCCCUUGGAUCUAUAAACCAACUUUUUAUAUGCGUUGGGAUUCUUGCAGCGUUGAUGGCUGGAUUACCUUUAGCUAGAAACCUGUUAUGGUGCAUGUACGUCCCUGCUCAAAGAAUUGGGGGCAAAUCCCUCCUUCCCCAAAAAAGUUGUACCAGAUAAAAAAAAGAAGAAAAGGAAAAGCUCCAUCUGACUAGUUCGAAUGUUUAAUUUUGUGUAGGUGGAGGACAAUGUUUGGUAUGGCUGCUGUCCCUUCUAUUUUAUUGGCGCUAGGAAUGGCUUUUUCCCCAGAAAGUCCUCAGUGGCUGUUACGUUUAUUAUUGGACUACUCAGUCUCUUUAUUUUGCAUUUCUAUUCAUCUCACAUCGAUAUAUAUAUAUAUAUAUAUAUAUAUAUAUAUAAUAUUGAUUCCUUGUUGAUUGAACACAUCAAUUUCGCAGCAAGGGAAAAUUCCUGAAGCUGAAAAAUCUGUAAGAACAUUAAAUGGAAAGGAAAGAGUUGCUGAGGUUAUGUAUGAGUUAAGAACUGCAGGUCAGGGUUCUACAGAACAAGAAACACGUUUUCUUUUUUCUAAUUUGUUUUGAAAAAAAUUGUUUUUUUGGUGAAUUCUUUGAAUUUAGAGAGAGGAGCAGUUUUAAUAUGGUCUUUUUGUGGUAUGUAUGUGUUGUGAUAAAUUUUGAUGGUUUUGUUCAUGUUUAUUUUGCCCUUUAGUCUAUUGCAGUUGAGUAUGGAAAAGGUUUUGAGGCUUUUAGGCUAGACGGGCCUUUAAUGGUUGAUGUGGUAAGGAAUUUAAGUGACUCUACAUUCACUCGAUUUGUGUGUCAGUGAUUUCAAUGAGUUUGGCCAUCUUAUUGGCUUACGAAUUUCUUUUGGUUUGAAUAGGAUUACUUGAAUGAUAGAUUACAAGAAGGUUUUCUUAAGCGAAUUCGCUAUACCAUGAAACCAGAUAAACCAUAUGGUCUAAUUUUCUCUUAGGAUAAUGUGGUGGUAAAACAAGCAAUUUUCAUAUAUCUCAGAGUCAUAUGAUGAUGGAUAUAUACUUUUAGUUGACCUUUUAUGUAUAUUUACUUGUCUUUGUGAUGUGGGAUUAAAUAUAGUGAAUUAAGUUUGUGAUAUAACAGUCCUAACCAAAUAAAAAUAAAUGGCUAUCAUGCCAAACAUGUUUUUAACUUUGUGUCUCUUUUAAAUAAGGUACUUGGAUUUAGUGUUAUCAAGGGUGCUAGGUGCACUAUAGGCUCUAGAACCCUUAGGUGCAAUGUGCAAAAAAAUUGCUUGCCCAAGUGAAGUAAGGUGCAAUGAGGAAGAGAAGGAGCAUAGAGAUAAAGAAAGGAUGGUCAAGCUCCGCACUCUAGGUAACAUUCCACUAAUUGGUAAGCUUCUGAAGCAAAAAGGGUAUCUAAGAAAGUAGUCCAUCAUAUCGUACAGGUUAUUGCCAAUACAUCCUUUCUCAUCCAGGGAACUUAAAUUUAUUGUACGUUAUGCUAAAUCAUUUUUUGCCUAUUUUGUCAAAUAGGAACUUUUGGGCCCUAACACUAGAGCUUGCCUUGCAGAGGAGAAUGUUGAAGCCAUUUGUCAGUUCUUCAACACUAUUGGUAAGCAACUUGAUGAGAGUUCAAAAUCACAGUGCAUAAAUGAUAUGUACUUCACCAGAUUGAAGGAAUUGAUUACAAAUCCUCAGCUUGUGCCAAGAUUGAGAUUUAUGGUUCAUGAUGUUCUUGAUUUGCAUGCAAACAAAUGGAUUUCCCAGGCAUGAGGAGAAGGCAGCAAUUGGAUAGCUUCUUGUGGCUUAGAGAAAAUGUGAUGGUCUUUUUUUUGGGCAAAACUUAGUGUCCAUACAUUCUUGUGGCUUUGAUGACUUUUACUAUGGCAAUAGCCAAUACUCAAGUCUAUCUCUGAUAGAGAUUAAAAGUGAGCCAUCAUACCAAGAUUCAUUAAAGACUUGCUCAAAUCUUAGUUCUUCAUUUGAUGGUUCAUGCAAAAAAUGCCCCGAUGCAAUGCGAAAUGCAGUGGAUAACUAAUCGGAACUGUUGCAAAGGAAAAAAAUCAUACUGAAAGAGCAAUAUGUGGAUCGGCAGUUGUUAUUUCAAUUGCUGCUGCAAAAAUUGAUAAUCACCCUUUCAUCAUUGAUUUGUUCAGCUGUAUGUCUUCUUCAAACGUUUUGGGUAAGAAUUAGAGAUUAGGUAGUAUCACUUUUACCUCCUUUUCAAUUAUUUUGUUUUGUCCUAUAAUUGUACUAUUUUGCCUAACAAAUCGUAGCUACCUCAAAAUGAAAUGUAAGUUUAACCAUUUUUCUACUUUUUACUGUUAAGUACAAAUCGAGGUCUGUUAGGCUUUGACAUAGCAGGAGCAACCUUUAAAGAUAACUUUUCUUUAUUUAUUUAUGCUAAGAUGCAUUUGUUUUUUACAUGCUAACCGAAUUGAAACGUAUAACUUUUUUACUCUCUUUAGUCUUUUGAACUUCUAGUACUCACUGAAAUAGUUCUGAUGUUGGUGUUGCAUUCCAUGCUCCCUUGUGUGAGGAGGUAAUUAAUGAAAAUUUGCUUUGCAUUCCACGCUCUCUCUUGGCGCUAAGAAUGAUAAAAACUUGACAGUUCCAACUCCAACUAAGAGAGUUCAAGAGCUGGAAUGGUUAAAGAAAGACUUGGAGAGGAGAAACUACGAGUUGCAGGCUUUGUAGAA